UAAAUGUCAGCAGCCUGCCAUAUAACAUGCUAUCUCAUAUCAUAUCUCACUCCCCUCUCUCUUACUUUCUUUUCUUUUUUUCUCUCUGACUGAGCAAUUAAUCAUAAACCAGCGUGACACUCUAAUGGUGACUCCUCGGGUCAGACUAAAGUUCAGUACAUUUUAUGGUAAGAUACGGAUGCUAAAUUCCAGGCAGUGGUGUGGCCUGGACAAGUUUCUGAGCUCUCACUUUUCUGAGAAGUGGAUUCCACCAUUCGGUUCUGAAACAACUUCUCCAACAAGCGAGAACAAAGUGCAGGAGUUCCCUGGGCCGAAUUCAGCCAUGUGCACCACAACAAUGGUCCUGAUCUCGCUGGGGUUGCUGCUGUACCGAUGCUUCUGCAACAGAGCCCAACUGCAGACUGACUCUCAUGGAGAGAACGAGACCCCGAAGACCAGCAGUGAAAGAGACACCGGGGGAAAUGAAGACAUUCAAUGAUGUGGCUCGAUCU
Molecule: long non-coding RNA, 491 nt
Organism: Pangasianodon hypophthalmus (striped catfish)
Lineage: Eukaryota; Metazoa; Chordata; Actinopteri; Siluriformes; Pangasiidae
Exons: 3
Source: RefSeq, a predicted model, not a curated record